Long non-coding RNA from Bombus pyrosoma, 1906 nucleotides. RefSeq lists it as uncharacterized. The record is from RefSeq and is a predicted model, not a curated record. NCBI's taxonomy places the organism in Eukaryota, Metazoa, Arthropoda, Insecta, Hymenoptera, Apidae. The transcript has 4 exons.
UUUUCUUUCAAUAAGAAAUCUUUAGAAUCCAAUUGGCACUCAUUUGCGGUUCAGCAGUUGUCGUCGAUCGUUAAGAGUUAAUCUACGUUCUACAAAUCCGAUCGUUCUGCGUGACAAAAACCUCGUUGUAAAUAUUAAUAGCAAGCGAUAAAAUGAAAACACGGAAAUCUGUUUUCUGCGAUUAUUCCGAUUAAAGGAUCCAGGUUCUCGCAAAAGACGAACUUUCUCGGAAAAGCUCGGUGAGGGCGAGCGGUGGUGGCGCGGUGUCGCGAUGCUCGGAACCCAGCCAACAACAGGCCGUGGCUUGUACCAAUGUAUUUAGGGCUUCGACGCGUCGUGGCUUCUCCGCGAGCAAGGCGAGCACACGUCAGGUGUCCGAUACCGAGCCGAUCGGCGAAUUAAUUUGUCAAACGCUGUUUGCCGAAAACCGAGCAAACUAAAAGGUAUCCGAUCCAAGUUUUCCUACUCAAUUAUUCCAGUUUGAUACAGAAUUGCAACUAAAUUGCCUCAACGAGGACGAUUAACCAAAAAAAAAGCAGAGAAAACAAAGAGCAGUAGCCAAACAGAAAUGACUGCAAAAUAUUUCAUCGACCGCAAGUCGUUCGUUCACCCGUGAAAAAAGAAACGAAAUACGAUCCUCGCUCGAUGGUCUCAGAAAAAAGGCACGAGACGAUUAUCCUGGAAGGAGAAAGCAAUGGUCCGGCAAAAACGAGACGCACACAGUCUAGCGACGAGUUGGCUCAGUGUACAUCGGUGAACGGAUCGAUUGUCGAUCUGCGAAACUUUAUACACAAGGAAAGUAUGGCGAGAAGACGAAGAAUAGCUUUCGCGAUGAAGAGCAGAGUGAUCGACGUCGAAAACACGAUGCUGACGAUACACGAAGCGUUUAAAAAUACACCGUGGCGGCCAGUCGGGCACGGCACGUGGCAAUGAACAAUUUUCCCGUACCCUCAUGAUCGAAGGGUCGUUCACACCUGCGAAUUUUCCUGAUGACGAGGCGGAUCGGCUAAGGCCAAUAGAGGGAGAGAGAAUGCGGCGCGCCUAGUCACGUAGCUGAUCAGACAAGAAUGGAAUCGGUUGGAGCUUAAACUGCGGGGCUCGAGCAAGGUUCCGAGACGUUCAAAAUUGGAUGAUUCGUAGGCGUGGACCUAGAAACCCGUCGGUGUAUUUCCAUCGCGACAAACGUUCGUCGAUCCACCCUGUCCCAAUGGAGACCAUCGAACGCGAUUACCUUUGUCAAGAUGAAAAUCAUUGUCAGAUUAACCACUUUGCAGUGAGAAUUUUAUUUCAAUUUCGUUAGCAGUAGCUGCCAACGCUUUUAAGUGUUUUAUUUGAAAUUUACUUUGACUAAAAAAUAAGAGAAUUUAAAUAAAUAAAGGAAGAAAGAAAUUCACUUAAAUACCAGUUUUAUUCACACUGUUGUUGUAUUUUGUGAUAAUUAAGUGUAUGACAUAUCUUGAAACAAUUUCCAGGAUGCAAUCCUGCUUUUCUUUCGCACAUUUCACAAAAAAUGGUGGACAUGAAAGAAUGUCGAGUGGGACUCGACAAAGGAGCUGCUGAGAUAAAAACUGAUGUCGAGUCACACUCGACAUAGCAGUGCAAAGGGUUAAGGCUACGGUUAUGGCGACGCCCGAACAAUCAGAUAUAUAGAUCCUUGUGAGAGUAGCUACAUCGUUCUUGAAAUGUUUCAUUUCAACGACAGUUGGCUGAAACAAGCAUCUGCUGUUUAAACCAUAGUUUAAGUAGAUCGGGGUGAUCAGGUAAAUUAGGAUACAUCUUUGUGAAUAGGAAUGUAAUUAAAAUUUGGAACUCUGUUGGCGGAGCUUUACGAGAGAUGUUCAAACUUCGCACUCCCUUCCGGUUCCGUUAUAACGAUGUUAAAUAAUGCAAGGAAACGUUUCACUGU